AUGCAACGACGCUGGAUCCCGCCAGAUGAGGGACUAGUGAAGAUAAAUGUGGACGCCGGAGUUUCAGUGCAACACAGUGCAGGAACCGCAGCAGCCAUCUGUCGUGAUUGUGACGGUUCCUAUCUUGGGUCGUCAGUGUUAGUUAUCCAGGGCAUAUCAGAUCCAGCUAGUUUGGAAGCUUUUGCUUGUCGAGAAGCUCCUUCACUGGCGCAAGACUUGGGUUUACAACAUCUCCAAAUUGCAUCAGAUUGUAAACAUGUUGUGAACCAUAUUCGCCAGGGCGUGGGAGGAAGCUAUGGAAGUGUUAUUAUGGAGAUCCUAGAAACUGUGAGAAAUUUUACUUCUUAUAAUUUUGUUUUCGAACCUCGAGCUUCAAAUACUGAAGCUCAUAGAUUAGCUAGGUCAGGUACUUCUCUACCUUACGGGCGCCAUAUUUGGUUGGGCACGUCAAGUGACCCAAUCGCAUUUCUUGUAAACAUUGGUAUUGAUCAAUAA
Molecule: ribosomal RNA, 495 nt
Filed under: Triticum aestivum (bread wheat)
Lineage: Eukaryota; Viridiplantae; Streptophyta; Magnoliopsida; Poales; Poaceae
Description: partial small subunit ribosomal RNA
Source: RNAcentral